Molecule: ribosomal RNA, 492 nt
Filed under: uncultured bacterium
Lineage: Bacteria
Description: partial 16S ribosomal RNA
Rfam family: Bacterial small subunit ribosomal RNA
Source: RNAcentral
AGUGAACGCUGGCGGUAGGCCUAACACAUGCAAGUCGAACGGCGGCACAGUAAGAGCUUGCUCUUACGGGUGGCGAGUGGCGGACGGGUGAGGAAUACAUCGGAAUCUACUUUUUCGUGGGGGAUAACGUAGGGAAACUUACGCUAAUACCGCAUACGACCUACGGGUGAAAGCAGGGGAUCUUCGGACCUUGCGCGAUUGAAUGAGCCGAUGUCGGAUUAGCUAGUUGGCGGGGUAAAGGCCCACCAAGGCGACGAUCCGUAGCUGGUCUGAGAGGAUGAUCAGCCGCACUGGAACUGAGACACGGUCCAGACUCCUACGGGAGGCAGCAGUGGGGAAUAUUGGACAAAGGGCGCAAGCCUGAUCCAGCCAUACCGCGUGGGUGAAGAAGGCCUUCGGGUUGUAAAGCCCUUUUGUUGGGAAAGAAAAGCAGCAGGUUAAUACCCCGCUGUUCUGACGGUACCCAAAGAAUAAGCACCGGCUAACUUCGUG